RNAcentral lists this small RNA (28 nucleotides) under Bombyx mori (domestic silkworm). RNAcentral's name for it is "ovarian small RNA-23754". Lineage: Eukaryota; Metazoa; Arthropoda; Insecta; Lepidoptera; Bombycidae. The record is from RNAcentral.
UAUCUAUACAUUGCUGACAUCUAAUAGG